GCACCAGAAGUAGAGCAGAGGACUGAAAAUCCUCGUGUCGCUGGUUCGAUUCCGGCUCUGGGCA
This 64-nucleotide transfer RNA is filed under the name Eubacterium sp. RNAcentral's name for it is "tRNA-OTHER". It matches the Rfam family "tRNA", at positions 10 to 71 of the family's 71-position model. From Rfam's summary of the family: Transfer RNA (tRNA) molecules are approximately 80 nucleotides in length. Lineage: Bacteria; Bacillati; Bacillota; Clostridia; Eubacteriales; Eubacteriaceae. The record is from RNAcentral.